UGCUAGACACAUAGCAAAUACUUUUAAA
RNAcentral lists this non-coding RNA (28 nucleotides) under Rattus norvegicus (Norway rat). The record is from RNAcentral. Lineage: Eukaryota; Metazoa; Chordata; Mammalia; Rodentia; Muridae.